GAAACGAACACGAUUAAAAUAGACCAAAAGAAAAGAAAGAAAAGAAAACCUUUCUAUGUACAGAUUCUAAAUCGUACUCCCCAUACAGUCAGAGGCAGGGAGUCGAGGGCAGAGGCAGCAGGCGGAGAGAGGGAGAUAGGGCGAGGGAAGGAGAACGCGGAGAGAGACGAAGGGAGUGGGAGACCAGCGACAGCGAGCGCCAGGGCACCGCAGGCACACUGGAUGCCCAGUCCGCCGGCCCAGCCGCCCUCGGACCCUGGACCGUGCGUCGUGGGCACCAGAAACGAGACUCGGCCAAAUCCUGCCUCACCAGCAGGUAGAUGAAACUCAAGAGAAAAGGUGUGGAUAAAUGAAACUAGCCCAUGAUGAACCUGUUUUCUCCGUGACCACAAUAUUAACCAGGAUGAAUGGCGGUGGCAGUGGGCCUGCAUCACAGGUUGCAGCAGAUGUUCUCAAUAUUUCUAUUAAAAUUUCCUUAUUUCCAUAUGCAAGAGGAGCCCCAGAGCUGCAUCCUUAUGGUAGCUACCAUGCCGUGAUGUAAGCUGCCAUUCACUGGGGAGCUUUGGCAAUAGAAUUGGCUAGAUCAGGAAGCCUAUGUCAACUAUGGAACAACAACUUGCAGCUCAUCUCUAUUGAUGUUAUUUCUUCCACUGACAUCUUGAACCCCUCAGUCAUCCAUGAGGCUUGGAAUCAACUUCUUCCAAACUCCUGCUCAUGUUGAUAUUUUGAUCUCCUUUUAUGAAACAUGGAUGUUUUAAUAGCAUCUAGAAUGAGAAAUCUUUUCCAGAAGGCUUUCAAUUGACUUUGCCCAGAUCCAUCAGAGGAAUCGCUAUCUAUGACAGGGACUGAGUCUCACUGUGUUGCCCAGGCUGGUCUCAAAUUCCUGGCCUCAAGUAACCCUCUUUCCUUGGCCUCCUAAAGUGCUGGGAUUACAGGCAUGAGCCACUGUGCCUGGCCAUAAGACUUAUUCUCUAAGAAACUUUGAGGCAUAAUACUUCUUCAUUUAUUUUAUAAAAGAGCAUGGAGAAAACCCAGUGCCAAAACGGACCUCUAACAAUGAUAUUGGAAGAAUAGAUACUAAGUCUUGGAGAGGUGAAACAGUCGCAAAUGGAAUUCCAAGAAACAUUCUAUCAUCAGGUAUUAUCUACUGCUGUCUGCAGAAUUCAGACAUGGAGGGCUCAAUGGUGUCCCCUGGUCUUUGGAACAUUCUGUAUUUUAAUGAUCAUGAUACACUGCCUCUAGGACUGGGACAGAUAGCCACUGAGUACCUGCUUCAAAUCACCCUGCACGUUUUCUCUUUGGAAAGAUAAGCACUGGAGAACCAUCUCGUUACCUUCAGCAGAAAUGGAAACAAAUCAAGACAUUAAGAAUGCCGCAGUGGACAGCAGUUAUGCAAGGUUCAGCAGAGGAAGUUUUCAAGAUGGUGUGCCUCACUAGCCAGAAAUCAGAAAAGAUCGAAGCUAGCCUUUUCAUCUCAGCUGCUCCUUAAAUCAGUGCAACCCCUCCAAAUUAAUGUGAAUUGAAACUUGCAUUGCUUUUCAACUUAAUUGAAUACUUACUAUAUGUGAACCACUGCACAAAAUAGGGGAAGAAGAUGUGGGAGACAAAGAUGUGGAGCCUGUCUUCAAUAAAUUUACAGUUAGUUUCAGGGUACAUUGUUUUUCUUCUGCUGUUAAUUAGGUGUAUCCCCAAGACAAUAAAUACAUGAAUGGAAAAGUAUAUUCUGUGUUUUAAGUCUCUUUAAUAAAAAACAAAACAAAAUCCAAAAAAACUCCUAACAUGGCAACUCAGGACAUUUUAAUCCUUUUUUUUGUUGUUGGGCUUCUGAUAGGAUCCAUUUUAUUGAUUCCAUAAAUAUUUAGUAGACUUUAGACAUAUUAAUACAUUGUAGUUUGAGUUAAUUUGCAUUAAAUUCUGUUUUUUUCCCCUUAGGUAUAGAUUGUCUGUUGGAAAAAUAUAUUGCUUGUGGAUUUCUUGGGGAGUGGGAAGGUGAAUUAUACCUGUUGUCUCUACAGUCCACUACCUUCCACACCCUAGGGCAGUGGUCCCCAACCUUCUUGGCACCAGGGAUCAGUUUCCUGGAAGACAAUUUUUCUGUGGAUGGUGUGGGGAUGGUUUUGGGAUGGAACUGUUCCACCUCAGAUCAUCAGGCAUUAGUUAGGCUCUCAUAACGAGUGCGCAGCCUAGAUCCCUCACAUGCACAGUUCACAGUAGGGUUUGCGCUGCUAUGAGAAUCUAAGGCUGCCACUGAUCUGACAGGAGGCAGAACUCAGGUGGCAAUGCUUACUGGCCCACUGCUCACCUCUUGCUGUGCGGCCUGGUUCCUAAUAGGCCAUGGACCCCCACAGACGGGUACUAGUCUGCAGCCUGUGGACCCCAGCCCUAGGGGCCUGCCAUUCUGAGUGAGUUAUUAGCAUGAAGAAGAGGAAGAUCUGGAUCAAACGUGGGUGAUGGUACUCAGAGACCCAAGAUAGGAUAGGGAUGGAACAAAAUCCAUCUGGGCAACGGCUCUAUGAAAAUUUGGCUAAGUAAUUAUUUCAGUAUUCAUUGUAUUCAUUGUCCUUCGUGUUCCAUAAGUUAAAUGACUGUCUAAUUUUUCCAAAAAUUUAUUUCUGACUUGAGAAUAAGUGUGUCAUGAUUUUCCCAGUGUAAAGACACUGAUAUAACUGUAGAUACCAGACAUUUUAUGUAGUGUCUAUGACACAUUUUAGUAUGUAUGAGCCAACAAUAGACAUGUCUUUGUCUUGAGGAGUGUCCAUCUGAAUUGAAAAUGUGUCAGCUUUUUUUUAACAUCAUCAACAGACUUCUUAAUUAAGCUGCCAAUACAUACUGCCAAUAGCACUGUGUGCUGUCUGAGAAAUGCAUUGUGUAAGUGCUAUUUCCAUCUUAUUAAAUAAACAAUGUUGCUCUGUAUAAACUGGAUUUAAAGUGUUCUUUGAAUGAGGCAUUAUAUUGCUCCAUAAAUAAUGUGAUGUGAAUUCUCAUAUGAUCCCUUUUAACUUAAUUUCUAAAAAAAUAUUAUUUGCUCCUCAGUAAGGAAUAGCUCUAAUUGGACUGGUAACUUUAGUGAUAUGAUUUGUCUGUAACAGGCUGAAUCGCCCCACUCCCAAACUCCUGGUCGUGAUACUGGAUAUUUGUUAUGCCACUUUUAGUUUGCAUGAGGUAUCUUCCAGGAAGUAUUAGUUAUUAACUUGUGUUCUACUAAACUGUAGAUAUUUAUUUCCUGUUCUGGAAGAUUUCUUGGAGUGUCCAUCUGUGCAUUCCUGGUGCCUAGUGUAGUCUUGCUAAUGGAAUAGCACCUUUAUUGGUGCUACUUAGGGGUUGGUAGCUUACAAUCAAUCUACUUGGAACGUAUCCAAAUAAACUGGAU
Homo sapiens (human) is the source of this 3370-nucleotide long non-coding RNA. Ensembl annotates it as NR2F1 antisense RNA 1. Its record names the gene NR2F1-AS1. Lineage: Eukaryota; Metazoa; Chordata; Mammalia; Primates; Hominidae. The record is from Ensembl.